CCAAUAGCGUAUAUUAAAGUUGUUGCAGUUAAAAAGCUCGUAGUUGAAUUUUGGGUCUGGCCGGGCGGUCCGCCCUCCGGGUGAGCACUGUUCCGACGCCGGGCCUAUCCUUCUGGUGAGUCGGCAUGUCCUUUGUUGGGUGUGUCGGGGAACCAGGACCAUUACCUUGAAAAAAUUAGAGUGUUCAAAGCAGGCGUAUGCUCGGAUACAUUAGCAUGGAAUAAUGAAAUAGGACGCGUGGUGCUAUUUUGUUGGUUUCUAGAACCGCCGUAAUGAUUAAUAGGGAUAGUUGGGGGCAUUCGUAUUCAAUUGUCAGAGGUGAAAUUCUUGGAUUUAUUGAAGACUAACUUCUGCGAAAGCAUUUGCCAAGGAUGUUUUCAUUAAUCAAGAACGAAAGUUAGGGGAUCGAAGACGAUCAGAUACCGUCGUAGUCUUAACCAUAAACUAUGCCGACUAGGAAUCGGGCGAUGUUAUUCUCAUGACUCGCCCGGCGCCUUAUG
This 500-nucleotide ribosomal RNA is filed under the name uncultured Glomeromycotina. RNAcentral describes it as "partial small subunit ribosomal RNA". It matches the Rfam family "Eukaryotic small subunit ribosomal RNA", at positions 591 to 1092 of the family's 1831-position model. The record is from RNAcentral. Lineage: Eukaryota; Fungi; Glomeromycota.